This 495-nucleotide ribosomal RNA is filed under the name uncultured bacterium. Its description in RNAcentral is "partial 16S ribosomal RNA". It matches the Rfam family "Bacterial small subunit ribosomal RNA", at positions 28 to 507 of the family's 1533-position model. The record is from RNAcentral.
GACGAACGCUGGCGGCGUGCCUAAUACAUGCAAGUAGAACGCUGAAGGAGGAGGUUGCUUCCUUGGAUGAGUUGCGAACGGGUGAGUAACGCGUAGGUAACCUGCCUGGUAGCGGGGGAUAACGAUUGGAAACGAUAGCUAAUACCGCAUAAUAGCAGUUGUUGCAUGACGACUGUUUGAAAAGUGCAGUUGCACCACUACCAGAAGGAGCUGCGUUGUAUUAGCUAGUUGGUGGGGUAACGGCUGCCCAAGGCGACGAUACAUCGCCGACCUGGGGGGGGGGUCGGCCCCCCCUGGACUGAGACACGGCCCAGGCCCCUACGGGGAGCAGCCGUAAGGAAACUUCGGCAAUGGACGGAAGGCUGACCGAGCAACGCCGCGUGAGUGGAGAAGGUUCUCGGAUCGUAAAGCUCUGUUGUUAGGGAAGAACGAGUGUUAGAGUGGAAAGUUCACAUUGUGACGGUAUCUUACCAGAAAGCGACGGCUAACUACGUG